RNAcentral lists this long non-coding RNA (206 nucleotides) under Elaeis guineensis (African oil palm). RNAcentral describes it as "long non-coding RNA (EGUI_LNC041351)". Lineage: Eukaryota; Viridiplantae; Streptophyta; Magnoliopsida; Arecales; Arecaceae. The record is from RNAcentral.
GACUCCAGCUUCUCUGGUGUAGGUGGAUUUUUGCACCAACAGGAUUGGCGCUAGAGGAAGGGGUGUAUCUUCGCAGUACUCUUGUUCUUAAAGGAGUGCUCAACGGGAUCGCCUCCGAUCAUCUUUUCUGACAUCCACUCCUCCUUCCCCCACUUGAUCUUCACCCGAUGCCUCCCCACAAAGCAUCCACACGGCGAUCCACGGCC